RNAcentral lists this ribosomal RNA (253 nucleotides) under uncultured bacterium. Its description in RNAcentral is "partial 16S ribosomal RNA". It matches the Rfam family "Archaeal small subunit ribosomal RNA", at positions 474 to 727 of the family's 1478-position model. The record is from RNAcentral.
UACCAGCACCCCGAGUGGUCGGGACGUUUAUUGGGCCUAAAGCAUCCGUAGCCGGUUCUGCAAGUCUUCCGUUAAAUCCACCUGCUUAACAGAUGGGCCGCGGAAGAUACUAUAGAGCUAGGAGGCGGGAGAGGCAAGCGGUACUCGAUGGGUUGGGGUAAAAUCCGUUGAUCCAUUGAAGACCACCAGUGGCGAAGGCGGCUUGCCAGAAUGCGCUCGACGGUGAGGGAUGAAAGCUGGGGGAGCAAACCGG